UACAGAGGUGGCAAGCGUUGUUCGGAAUUACUGGGCGUAAAGGGCGCGUAGGCGGCCUUCUAAGUCAGACGUGAGAUCCCCAGGCUUAACUUGGGAACUGCGUCUGAUACUGGGAGGCUUGAGUGCGGGAGAGGGAUGUGGAAUUCCAGGUGUAGCGGUGAAAUGCGUAGAUAUCGUAAGGAAGACCAGUGGCGAAGGCGGGUCUCUAGACAGUUCCUGACGCUGAGGCACGAAGGUCAGGGGAGCAAACGGG
Molecule: ribosomal RNA, 253 nt
Filed under: uncultured bacterium
Lineage: Bacteria
Description: partial 16S ribosomal RNA
Rfam family: Bacterial small subunit ribosomal RNA
Source: RNAcentral